This 1447-nucleotide ribosomal RNA is filed under the name uncultured bacterium. Its description in RNAcentral is "bacterial SSU rRNA". It matches the Rfam family "Bacterial small subunit ribosomal RNA". The record is from RNAcentral.
AGAGUUUGAUCCUGGCUCAGGAUUAACGUUGGCAGUGUGCCUAACACAUGCAAGUCGAGCGAUAUAGCGGCAGACGAGAGAGUAUAAACAAGGAACGUACCCCCGAGUGAAGGAUAGCCACCCGAAAGGUGNGNUAAUCCUGCAUAAUCUGUGCUUGCACAGCAAAGCGCUUGCGCGCUUGGGGAGCGGCCUUGUUCCUAUCAGCUUGUUGGUAAGGUAAUGGCUUACCAAGGCGAUGACGGGUAGCUGGCCCGAGAGGGUGACCAGCCUCGAUGGGACUGAGACACGGCCCAUACUCCUACGGGAGGCAGCAGUUGGGAAUUUUGCACAAUGGAGGCAACUCUGAUGCAGCAACACUGCGUGAAGGAUGAAGAUUUUCGGAUUGUAAACUUCUUUUAUCUGGGAAUAAUCUUGAAGGUACCAGAUGAAUAAGCACCGGCUAACUACGUGCCAGCAGCCGCGGUAAUACGUAGGGUGCAAACGUUAUCCGGAUUUAUUGGGCGUAAAGCGCUCGUAGGUGGUUUGAAAAGUCGGAUAUUAAUUCUCCAGGCUCAACUUGGAAACUGUAUCCGAAACUCUCUGACUCGAGGUAUGCAGGGGAAGAUGGAACAUACGGUGUAGCAGUGGAAUGCGUAGAUAUCGUAUGGAACGCCGAAGGUGAAGACAGUCUUCUGGGCAUUACCUGACACUGAGGAGCGAAAGCGUGGGUAGCGAACGGGAUUAGAUACCCCGGUAGUCCACGCCGUAAACGAUGCAUACUAGACAUUUGGGGUAUCGACCCUCCGAGUGUCGAAGCUAACGCGUUAAGUAUGCCGCCUGGGUAGUACGGCCGCAAGGCUAAAACUCAAAGGAAUUGACGGGGACCCGCACAAGCGGUGGAACAUGUGGUUUAAUUCGACAAUAAGCGAAGAACCUUACCAGGGCUUGACAUCUCUGGAACCCCCUAGAAAUAGGGGGGUGCCUUUUGGAGCCAGAUGACAGGUGCUGCACGGUCGUCGUCAGCUCGUGCUGUGAAGUGUCCCGUUAAGUCGGUUAACGAGCGCAACCACUAUUGUAUGUUGUAUUUUUCAUACAAGACUGCCGGCGUUAAGUCGGAGGAAGGCGGGGAUGACGUCAGAUCAGCGUGGCUCUUACGUCCUGGGCGACACACGUGUUACAAUGGGUGCUACAAAGGGUUGCUAAACUGUAAAGUGGAGCUAAUCCCAUCAAAAGCACUCUCAGUUCGGAUUGAGGGCUGCAACUCGCCCUCAUGAAGUCGGAAUCGCUAGUAAUCGUAGGUCAGCCAUACUACGGUGAAUACGUUCUCGGGUCUUGUACACACCGCCCGUCAAGUCAGGAAAGCCGGUAAUGCCCGAAGCACCCAACAGGGUACCACGGCAGGAUCGGUGAUCAGGACUAAGUCGUAACAAGGUAUCCCUAUCGGAAGGUGCGGAUGGAUCACCUCCUU